Molecule: long non-coding RNA, 441 nt
Organism: Strigops habroptila (Kakapo)
Lineage: Eukaryota; Metazoa; Chordata; Aves; Psittaciformes; Psittacidae
Exons: 2
Source: RefSeq, a predicted model, not a curated record
CGCAGAGGGAGCCCCUGGGAGCGGGCCCGUCCCCGGCCGCGCUGCGGCAGCCCCGCAGCAGCACUGACCGUGCGCGGCGCCGCAGCCCCUGCCUCAGCCCCGGCGCUGCCGACCGCCAACCGACCGUUCCGCCAUGAUGGAAUGCGGGCACUGCGCCUGCGCCGCCGCCAGCCGGGGGCGGGCGGGCGCGCCAACCACAGGCCGGGACGAUCUUCGUCUUCAUCCACCCUCUCCCGCGAAAAGAGACGCGGGGGGGCGGCGGAGAGCCCACAGCCGCUCUUGCCUGUCUUCGGACCAUCCCGAGCCCUCAGCAGCGCCAAACCCGGCUCUGAAAGGAUCAAGGGCAGAGGCUGAAAAAACACAGCACGAGCUGAACAGCCCCUCUGGCACAUCCAUUUUCUCUGGCAAUUAAUAUAGCAAUAAAUUUUGUGCUCUUCAGCU